UGGGGAAUAUUGCGCAAUGGGGGAAACCCUGACGCAGCAACGCCGCGUGCGGGAUGAAGGCCUUCGGGUUGUAAACCGCUUUUGAUUGGGAGCAAGCCUUUUGGGUGAGUGUACCUUUCGAAUAAGCGCCGGCUAACUACGUGCCAGCAGCCGCGGUAAUACGUAGGGCGCAAGCGUUAUCCGGAAUUAUUGGGCGUAAAGAGCUUGUAGGCGGUUCGUCGCGUCUGGUGUGAAAGCCCAUCGCUUAACGGUGGGUUUGCGCCGGGUACGGGCGGGCUAGAGUGCAGUAGGGGAGGCUGGAAUUCCCGGUGUAACGGUGGAAUGUGUAGAUAUCGGGAAGAACACCAAUGGCGAAGGCAGGUCUCUGGGCUGUUACUGACGCUGAGAAGCGAAAGCGUGGGGAGCGAACAGG
This 412-nucleotide ribosomal RNA is filed under the name Verrucomicrobiota bacterium. RNAcentral's name for it is "Verrucomicrobia bacterium partial 16S ribosomal RNA". It matches the Rfam family "Bacterial small subunit ribosomal RNA", at positions 355 to 776 of the family's 1533-position model. Lineage: Bacteria; Pseudomonadati; Verrucomicrobiota. The record is from RNAcentral.